CAGUCGAGAGGGGAAGGACCUGCUUCCUUCGAACCCAGUACCAAGGCGUGGCAAGCUAUGUUUUGGAUACCCCCAGCAUGAUAGUAAACUGUAGCAUUGUGAACGAUAACUACUAACGGAUAACGACUUCACGGCGAAGAGUUGGACAGUCUCAUCCCAACUAAUACGAGAUGUAAAGAGUCGCCAAGGUCACGAGCGGUGGCUCCUCUUAGAAUAUGCACUGUCACACUGGGGGUGGCAAGACUCCCAAGCCCCUCCGGGACUGAGACACGGCCCAUAUUCCUCCAGGGGUAUCAGCGGGAGCCUCCUUUGCCUUGUGAGCGAGACCGAUGCAAACAUUGUACAGGUCUUUUGUGCGUGUACGAGGAUGUCACCAACCUCUCUACUAAGCGGCGGGUGACUUCGUGCCAACACCCGCCGCUAGACGAUACGAGCUAACGAAGCUCGCACUCACUAGGCGUCAAGGGGGCGUAAGUAGGUCAUAAAGUUCGGGCGUGAAUCCAAGUAAGUCACCUCAAGAACUGCCUGUGGUACUGAACAUCUUGAGUUCAGAAUAGUUGAGUUGAACUGGGAGUGCCCACGUGAAAUACUUACAUAUAUCGCUUGCAGAACCGGGGGCGAAAAUUGAGCUCAUCUCGCCCAAAACAUGACCUUGUUAUUCCGGAGAACAAGCCGGAGGGAAAUAAGGAUCUAUUUUUGCCUGGAAGCGCCUACGCCCCGUAGCCAAAAACAUUGUUUGGCCCGUUAGAGGGAGGUUUUACUUUCCCCCGGGG
This 773-nucleotide ribosomal RNA is filed under the name Bradyrhizobium elkanii. RNAcentral's name for it is "partial 16S ribosomal RNA". Lineage: Bacteria; Pseudomonadati; Pseudomonadota; Alphaproteobacteria; Hyphomicrobiales; Nitrobacteraceae. The record is from RNAcentral.